RNAcentral lists this ribosomal RNA (230 nucleotides) under uncultured bacterium. Its description in RNAcentral is "partial 16S ribosomal RNA". It matches the Rfam family "Bacterial small subunit ribosomal RNA", at positions 524 to 751 of the family's 1533-position model. The record is from RNAcentral.
UACGAAGGGGGCUAGCGUUGCUCGGAAUCACUGGGCGUAAAGGGUGCGUAGGCGGGUUUUUAAGUCAGGGGGUGAAAUCCUGGAGCUCAACUCCAGAACUGCCUUUGAUACUGAAGAUCUUGAGUUCGGAAGAGGAGAGUGGAAUUCCCGGUGUAGCGGUGAAAUGCGCAGAUAUCGGGAAGAACACCCGUGGCGAAGGCGGCUCUCUGGGACGGUACUGGACGCUGAGA